Molecule: long non-coding RNA, 434 nt
Filed under: Astyanax mexicanus (Mexican tetra)
Lineage: Eukaryota; Metazoa; Chordata; Actinopteri; Characiformes; Acestrorhamphidae
Description: lncRNA (ENSAMXG00005009058.1)
Source: RNAcentral
UUUCAUUUCACCAGAGCUGCUCUCUAAACCAGAGUGAAAUAUACUAUAAACAUACACUACAGAUAAUCUACAGCUACCUCUCUACACAGAAAAUCACAUCCUAAAAGAAGAUUAUGAAGACCAUGACCUCACUUCUGUACACUACAGCUGUUUCAUGCCUUAUCCUCUGUAUACGUUCUGUUUCAGCUCAGUCUCGUCUCUUCAUGACGGUGAACGCUGGAUCCUCGGCUGUUCUGCCGUGUGAUUGGACAGCAGUCUCCAGCACUCCGUCGUCCAAUCAGAGCCUCCACAUCGAGUGGAGAACGUUUUCUGAGACGGUGUUUGAGCGCUGGGGGGAGAAGCAUUAUGAGGGGGAGGGGUAUGAAGGUCGGGUUGAUGUUCCUGAAGAUAAACUGAAGAAAGGAAACUGUUCUCUGGUUCUGAAGGAGGUUAAA